AUGGGGUGUACCCCCCCCCCCCCGUCCACUGCGGUUCUGAGCGCGCCGUCCGCGCCCACCUGACAGCUGCUCGCGACGUUGUGUUAACC
This 89-nucleotide small RNA is filed under the name Xanthomonas oryzae pv. oryzae. Its description in RNAcentral is "sX9". It matches the Rfam family "Xanthomonas sRNA sX9". The record is from RNAcentral. Lineage: Bacteria; Pseudomonadati; Pseudomonadota; Gammaproteobacteria; Lysobacterales; Lysobacteraceae.